UAAGACGGAAGGCGCAAGCGUUGUUCGGAAUCACUGGGCAUAAAGGGCGCGCAGGCGGCCAGUUUAGUCAAGUGUGAAAUCCCUCGGCCCAACCGGGGAACUGCACUCGAUACUGACUGGCUAGAGGAUGGUAGGAGCUAAUGGAACUCCAGGUGGAACGGUGAAAUGUGUAGAUAUCUGGAGGAACACCGGUGGCGAAAGCGAUUAGCUGGGCCAUUUCUGACGCUGAGGCGCGAAAGCUAGGGGAGCGAACGGGAUUAGAUACCCCGGUAGUCCUAGCCGUAAACGAUGGGUACUGGGCAAUGGACUUACCUAUGUAGUUCAUUGCUGUAGCUAAUGUGUUAAGUACCCCGCCUGGGGAGUACGCUCGCAAGGGUA
This 378-nucleotide ribosomal RNA is filed under the name uncultured Planctomycetota bacterium. RNAcentral describes it as "bacterial SSU rRNA". It matches the Rfam family "Bacterial small subunit ribosomal RNA", at positions 521 to 896 of the family's 1533-position model. Lineage: Bacteria; Pseudomonadati; Planctomycetota. The record is from RNAcentral.